GACCUCGAAUCAGGUAGGAAUACCCGCUGAA
RNAcentral lists this ribosomal RNA (31 nucleotides) under Metarhizium owariense. Its description in RNAcentral is "partial 28S ribosomal RNA". The record is from RNAcentral. Lineage: Eukaryota; Fungi; Ascomycota; Sordariomycetes; Hypocreales; Clavicipitaceae.